RNAcentral lists this ribosomal RNA (371 nucleotides) under uncultured organism. RNAcentral's name for it is "partial 16S ribosomal RNA". It matches the Rfam family "Bacterial small subunit ribosomal RNA", at positions 527 to 896 of the family's 1533-position model. The record is from RNAcentral.
GGAGGGGGCGAGCGUUAUUCGGAAUUAUUGGGCGUAAAGGGCAGGUAGGCGGCUUUGUGUGUCCUCUGUGAAAGCCCUCGGCUCAACCGAGGAAUUGCAGGGGAAACUGCAGAGCUUGAGUCCGGGAGAGGCUAGUGGAAUUCCCAGUGUAGCGGUGAAAUGCGUAGAUAUUGGGAGGAACACCAGUGGCGAAGGCGGCUAGCUGGACCGGUACUGACGCUGAUCUGCGAAAGCUAGGGGAGCAAACGGGGGAUUAGAUACCCCGGUAGUCCUGGCUGUAAACGCUGAGCACUUGGUGUGGCGGGUAUGACCCCUGCCGUGCCGGAGCUAACGCAUUAAGUGCUCCGCCUGGGAGUACGGUCGCAAGGCUG